Long non-coding RNA from Gavialis gangeticus (Gharial), 2343 nucleotides. RefSeq lists it as uncharacterized. The record is from RefSeq and is a predicted model, not a curated record. Lineage: Eukaryota; Metazoa; Chordata; Crocodylia; Gavialidae. The transcript has 2 exons.
UUACACUCUGAAAAAUCUAAGGGAAAUAGUGUGUGCUGGGUUGACAUUAAUAAACAUGUUAUGUGCUGAAUCAUAUUUAACAAUUAAUGAUACUAAGGGACAAGUACUCCAUCUCAUCACAAAGUGUAGAUAGGAGUUCUGUAUGGGCAAAACAAAAGCCACAGAACACCAGCAACCUACUUAAUUGCAUCUGCCUUCAUCUGCAGUAGCUUCUAAGAAUUUGAAUUUCUUGCUGUCCUCAGCUGAGCCACAAGCCCCUCUCCUGCUAUAAAUGUUCUUGAAGCCACUGUGCAGCACAGUCUUACCACUGGAAAGGAUCUCAGUCUACUUUCCUUGGUCAGUAGAACCACAACUUUUUCAGUACCUUUCUGAUUAUAUGCGUCUUGGAGAAAGGAUGAGGAAGAAGAGUUGGGAUUAAGUCCAUGUAUUUAAUGUCCAGCAUACCAGCAUCCUCAAAAUACUGCAUCCAUAGACACCUACACAAGCUCAAACUUUUGUAUGAGCAAUUUUCAGAUGUUCACGUGUUAUAUUUGCUAGUUCAGUGCUUUGGUAUGUGACAGUAUGCAUACGUUGUCAUUGGGGGGUUUUUCCAGAAGCACCUGCUAGGCUUUGAAAAUAUAGCUCUACAUAUUCUAUUUUUUCUCUGAAUCUAAUUGUUUCAAUGGAAAGCUAAGAAUGAAUAAGCAGCAUACACCACAGAAAAAUUCUGCUUCUAGUAACAGGUAAAAUAGCAAGUUCACUUAACUUUCCUGUCAAUUCAUUUCUUUAUAGUUUUAUUCCAAAUAUACUUUGUUAUGAUGAUUUAUCUAGUGUUCCAAGAUACUAAUACAUAGCUAGAUUUACAGAAUAUAUUUAGACGGUCAUCAUUUGGAGUAGGGUCCUAUCCAAGUCCCUUUAAAUGAACAGAAAGACUCCUCCUGCUUUCAGUGUGAGCUAGAUCAGGCCUUUAGCACUUUAUUUUUUUAAAGCAACAUUAAGCGUGGCUGUUCAUUGACAUUGUUUCCCAGACACCAGCAAUUGUUCGCUGACCCAGAUAUGAACUUGUAUUUUUUUUCUGUCUCUGUUUAUAGAGUCUCUUUCUCUGUCAUGCUUAUCUACCCUAGUCACAAAGACCUGUUUAACUUGCUGUGAAGUUGUGAUGGACCAAAUUAGAAAGCUUGCACAAAACUGUUUAUAGCUGGGUCUGUCAGUGCUAGUAAAAAAAAAAAAAUAGGCAGAGAAAUAAUAUUUACAUAGACCAGAGCCCUCUAUUUUACUGUUGCUCCCUCCUUGCCAAUAUUCAGCUGCAGGAAAGGAGAUUAUUACUCAAAGAAAGGAGAGGAAAAUGCACUAGAAGAAGCUGACCUAAAUUGCCUCUCUCGUCAACUUAAUACUUCCAUUGGACAAGAAAAGGUGUAAUUCCACAAGGUAUCCGUAAUGGAAUUGUCAAUCAAAAGUGAGCCAGAGGAAAAUGCUGUCUCAGAGUAUAAGAUGGCUUGGGCAGACUCUCAAUACUGCAAUCCUCGGACCCAGUGGCAUCUGCAAAGCUGCUGCAGCAUCUGGAUCCAAAGCCUGCCAAUGGAUCAGUUGCCAUCACUAGUAAAAUGCCAUCCAUAGGCUGAUAUCUGGAUCCUCAAGAAAGUAAAAGAAGAGCAACAAGAUGCGAAAGGCAAGUAGCAGUGAGAUAGGAGGAAUCGUGUUCAGCUUCAAAUUAAAUCUUUCUGCUUAAUUUCAUGGUUUUUCAUGUGAAAUUGUUUCUUUACAUAGUAAGCUCUGACCCACUUUUACUACAUUCCCCCAAAUCCAUGAUAUACUCCUAAUAUGAUUCAAAAACAUUUGAUCAUAGUGCAGUUAAGUAGACACUGUAAUGUGCAUGUGAUUGAAGAAAUGUGCAGUAUUUGUGAGCUGGUUCUGCUUUUCAUGCUAGGGCUUUUCUUAAAUUAAGGGUGAUGUCGUCAAAAAAUAAGAAAAAUAAAAAGGCUAUGAUAAAUGUCCUAAAAAAAGCUUUGGAUGUAUCAUUCCUCCAGAAAAGCAGACUACAUACUUUAGAAGAUUUAAAGGCUUUCCAUAGAUUUUGUGGACACUAAGCUUCAUGAGCAUGUGUAUUAUUAUUAUUAUGUAGUUGUGGAGAACUUGCUGUCAUGCAAUCACUGUGCAAACAAUCUUUGAACAGUAAACACACACUCUUACUUAAAUUUAUGAAUGAUCCUAUAAGGUGGCCAUUUAUUUAAAACGUAAUUACUGUAAAUAUGUUUUGUAAGCAGGAUUCCUUUCUUCAUAGUACGGUUUUAUAAUUAUGCACACACAUAAUGUAUUGGAAAUUCACAGGUAAUUAGUAAUAAAAGACAAUCAUGGUGUGCUGUA